UAAUACGGAGGGUGCAAGCGUUAUCCGGAUUUACUGGGUUUAAAGGGUGCGUAGGUGGGUUUGUAAGUCAGUGGUGAAAUCUCCGAGCUUAACUCGGAAACUGCCAUUGAUACUAUAGAUCUUGAAUUAUCUGGAGGUAAGCGGAAUAUGUCAUGUAGCGGUGAAAUGCUUAGAUAUGACAUAGAACACCAAUUGCGAAGGCAGCUUACUACGGAUAUAUUGACACUGAGGCACGAAAGCGUGGGGAUCAAACAGGAUUAGAUACCCUGGUAGUCCACGCCCUAAACGAUGGAUACUCGACAUCAGCGAUACACUGUUGGUGUCUGAGCGAAAGCAUUAAGUAUCCCACCUGGGAAGUACGAUCGCAAGAUUG
RNAcentral lists this ribosomal RNA (373 nucleotides) under uncultured bacterium. Its description in RNAcentral is "bacterial SSU rRNA". It matches the Rfam family "Bacterial small subunit ribosomal RNA", at positions 521 to 896 of the family's 1533-position model. The record is from RNAcentral.